This is a long non-coding RNA of Chenopodium quinoa (quinoa), 2096 nucleotides long. RefSeq lists it as uncharacterized. The record is from RefSeq and is a predicted model, not a curated record. Lineage: Eukaryota; Viridiplantae; Streptophyta; Magnoliopsida; Caryophyllales; Amaranthaceae. The transcript has 4 exons.
GUUUUUAACUGGAUUCUGAAAAUUUGGUACUGUAUUAUUCUUCAUAAUAAUGUUAAUUUAUAACUUUGCAACUAGAAGUGGAAAUUUAGUUUGGUAAAAAGAAUUAUUGGGUUUUUGCAGAUUUUAUAUAUCAAUCAUAUAGCAGCAUAUGCAAUUGUUGGCUUUUGAAACUAAUUCAAUAUGAGUUAGAAUUGAGAAUUGUGUUCUUGUGAUAAUACAUGCAGAUUUCUUGUCUUUAUAAAGAAUUAGAUUAUAAAAUUUCCUAAUUUCAAAAUUGCUAUUAUGUCAGGCUAAGUCUUAUUGGGGUACAAAUAUAUAUAUAUUGGGGUCGGGAUCCGGUGAGAACCACUUCCUAUGUGAGAACUCAUCCCAUAUAUGAGAACAAAUCUCAUCCAUUAGAUUGUAUUAAUCCAACAACUGAGAUUGUUCCACUAAUAAUGACAAUAAUGUAAUUCUCAAAAUAAACAAAUCAGCCCCCAAAACCCGUACAAUUUUGUAUACUCCUCUUCUCUCUCUUCAAAGCUUGAAGGUGGGAUUUCUCUCUCCUCUUCUUCACUGCUGCAUAAUUUCAAGUGGCAUUACGAUGGAGAUUAAAAAUUGAAGAUCGACGAUUUCUCUCUCCUCUUCUUCACUGCUGCAUAGUUUCAAGUAUAUUCGAGCUCAUUGACGAUUGGAGAGAUUUUCUGCACUGUUUUACUACCGUUUAUUACAAUCAUUUAUAAGCUUAGUAACGCUAUUUCUCAUUGCUUCGAAUUGGAUCCUCCAAGUAAUCAUAAGCAAGUUCACACGACCUUACUUGCCUUGCUCGUGAAUCUCAAUGUUAUGGCAAAUAUCAACAAAUAUUAGAUUGAUGAACCUCAAACUCUCAAAGUGCCGAAGAAUAUAUCAAAGGAGUUGAAAAUUUUCUUGAUUUUGCGUUUCAACAUUCAACCAUGGAUGCUGAGGAAGAUGAUGAACCAGAAAUUAGUUAAGUGCCCAAAUCAAAUAAAUAUGAAGUUCAGUGGGUCAUAUCUCAUCUUGGCCUAGGUUGCUUGGCUCAAAGCUUCUUGAAGCAAUUCAUCCAAGUGUGGUUGUACUUUAUUUGCUUUUGUAACUUUUUUUCGUGUUUUAAUUUAAUCUAUUUGUGAGUUCUUCUACCUUCAAAGCAUUCUCUUACUGGACAUAUCAUAUUCUACCUUUUCUUGCAUUCUUGACUGACAUGUACUUUAUAUUUCCCCCCUUUUAUGGUUCACAGGCUUGCAAUCGUUAUAGGGUUUCAGAAACUGUUUUUGGUGCUGGUAUAACCUCUUGAACUAGCUUCUGACCUUUGCUUGUAGUUAUAUUAGAUCAGGUUACGAAUGUUGGAGAAGAUGUUAAGAGUUUUCCUACAGCUAUCCACCCACAACAGCAGGCAGCCGCCAGCAGCAGGUAGCAGGUAGCAGCCAACUGCCAGUAGCAGCAGGGAGCAACCAGCAAUAAGCAGGCAGCAGGCAUCCAUAUGCCACAGGCAACAGCAGGCAGCCACAAGCCACAGGCAACCGCAGGCAGCAGCUUGUAGAUAUUGGUGUAUUAUCAUAUCUUGCUUAGAUUAGGUAAAAAUGUGCUGAAUUUACGUCAUGCUUAGUCAAGCAUUCUAGCUUUAGCAGUUUUGGUUUGGUUUGAUUGCAAAAGUAAUGGUUAAUUUGUACUUUAGAAUAGGAAUUUUUUUGAGAAAUUUUUUAUUUUGGGCGAAAUCAUGUUGGUAACUAAAAUUAGAUAUGUAUGUAUUAGAAAUUCUCACAAAUAUAUGGUAUAUAUCCCAAUUAGACACAAAUAUUAUAAGGUCGUGGGAUUUUGUGAGUUGAUUGAUAUCUUUACUGCUGCCAUGUCAGAUUUAGGAAUUAUAACUUUUAAGAAUUAGAUUUUGGGUUGAAACAAUGAUGUAUUUAUUUUUUUGUAUAAAAUUUGUUAUAUAAACUUGAUUUUUGUAAGAAGCAUUUCCAUGUUCUUUAUCAAAGUGAAUUGUAAGUGUCAAGUUCCAAUUUUCAUACUAAAGAUUCAACCUGUGUAUUUGAGAUUUUGAGGUAUAAUAAAGAAUAUAACAUAUGCUCUCUUGUUUGGGCCCUAGUAUGUCAUGU